AACGAACGCUGGCGGCAUGCCUAACACAUGCAAGUCGAACGAGACCUUCGGGUCUAGUGGCGCACGGGUGCGUAACGCGUGGGAAUCUGCCCUUGGGUUCGGGAUAACAGUUGGAAACGACUGCUAAUACCGGAUGAUGACUUCGGUCCAAAGAUUUAUCGCCCAGGGAUGAGCCCGCGUCGGAUUAGCUAGUUGGUGAG
Molecule: ribosomal RNA, 200 nt
Filed under: uncultured bacterium
Lineage: Bacteria
Description: partial 16S ribosomal RNA
Rfam family: Bacterial small subunit ribosomal RNA
Source: RNAcentral